Molecule: small RNA, 29 nt
Filed under: Bombyx mori (domestic silkworm)
Lineage: Eukaryota; Metazoa; Arthropoda; Insecta; Lepidoptera; Bombycidae
Description: ovarian small RNA-14620
Source: RNAcentral
CUACGCGCCGAGUGGCCAUAGAGUUGGCA